CGGCUCCACGCCCCGCCCCCACGUCCCGCCGCAGACACAGGCCAGACAACAAGCCGCGAGGGGCGCCCCCGGCUGCGCGGAGGAGGACUUCUGUCUGCGGAGGCUUCCGUAGACCUCCGGGUCCCGGCCCCAAUCGCCUUCCUUUUUCGACUGCGCCAGCCUGUUGUGCUGUCAAGGGGCGCGGCCCUGCCCUCCUUAGCUUCCCAACCUCCCUUCUGCUGGCCAAGCAGAAGUUCAUUUGGGGCUCAUACAGCCCUCACAGGACCAUAGCCAGAAAAAAAAAAUAGGGAGGGGUUGAUUUUUUCUUUCUUUCCCCGAGAUGACUUUUUAGGUCAGUGUCUUCUGACCUGACAGGAGAUCUCAACAAGGCCCUGAAAUUGCCAUAAUAAUAAUAAUAAUAAUAAUAAUAAUAAUAAAUCAUUAUUAUUAAUGAUAAUAAGAAGGGUUGUUGUAUCUCUUUCAGGCUGUGUGGCCAUGUUCCAGAAGUAUUCUCUCCUGACGUUUCGCCCACAUCUGUGGCAGGCAUCCUCAGAGGUUGUGAGGCAUGUUACAGAAUCAGAGCGAGAGGAGACCACAAGAACCAUCCAGUCCAACCCCCUGUCAUGCAGGAACACACAAAGCACUUUCAACAGAUGGCCAUCCAUCCCGUUUAAAAACUUCCAGAACAGGAAAUCACCACUCUCCGAGGUAGCGUAUUCAAUUGCUGAAUUUUACCAUCAGGGAGUUCUUCCUUUUGUUUAGGCGGAAUCUCUUCCUUCAAUUUGAAUCAGUUCCUUCAUGUCCUAAUCUCCAGAGUUGGAAAAGACAAGCUUUCCCCUCCUCGAUGUGACAUCAUUUCAGAUAUUUAAACAUGACUAUCAUGUCCCCCCUCAGCCCUCUUUUCUCUAAGCUAAACAUACCCAGCAUUCUAAGAAGCUCCCACAGCUGUGUACUUUAUAACCUGGGAGUUUAAUAUUACUUUAUUGCAACUGAGGAGGCAAAUUUAUAUCCAUGAAAACGUGCAGUAAAAUUUAAAAAAUGCUAUGACAUUUUUUUCCCUUCAAGUUUUUUCCUCCCCCUUUUAUGUUGGAAGAGACUAACAUGGCUUCUUCUUUGAAAAUUAUUACAACAUAAAGUGAUUCCAUACUAGAUUUUUUUAUAGAUUAUUCUAAUAAGGUUUUAAAAUAAUGUUUUGCACAUGAAAAAGCAGCCAAAACAUUACCUGUAUUUGUAUUUAAUAUACUCUAUAAUAGUUUCCAGAUAUGUUGGAUGACACCCAUCAUUCUCAAUCUUUUGUACUGGCUAGGGAAUGAUGGGAUAUGGGGUGUUCCUACCUGAGGAAAUAUGCCCCACAUCACAUAAGACUUCAUAAAAACAUAAAGGACCUAAACAUUUGUCUCCUCAGAGGCCCCCAUUCAUCCAGAAUAUACAUUUUUGUUCAUUAGUUCAUGUAUCCUUCUUUUUAAAACUUACAAAUUUUAUUCACCAAGACCUUGCAAAUAGGAGCAGCACCAAGAACAUUUGCUCCCAGCCUUAAAAAAUGAGGGUGGCCACAUCAAUACUGAAUUGUUAUAUGCCUUCAAAUUAUUUCCUUUUCUGGCUAUCCUAUCAUGGGAUUUUCUUGGCAAGAUUUGUUCAAGGAGAGUUUGCCUUUCUCUGAGGCUGAGAGUGACUUGUCCAGCGUUACCCAUGAAGUCAAAAUUUAGAUUGCAAUUAUAUGAGAAUUCGGCCUGGCAAGCAUUUUAUGCUAACAAUCAAAGGUUCCAGAUUAAAGACUCACCAGAGUUCGAAGAUAGAGACAGAAGCUUUAAUUACACUCUGGCCAAGAGUGGAUGCAAGCAGGCUCACGCCUAAAGUACAAGCAUAACCAACAUGGAGUGUGCAUCCAUUUUUUCAAAGAUUCAUGCAUUAGCAUUGUCUGAGUUUAAGUUUUCUGACCCCAACCCCAAUUGGGUGAGCGCCGAGAGCUGGCCAGUGCUACCUCUGCUCCUGAUUGGCCAGGGGACAGGCUCAGACCAGCCCACUCUGUGAUUGGCACUGACUCCAAUGACAUGACUGAGGAUCUCCCAACCAAGUGGGGGAAGCCCAGGGCCACCCAAUCAGCUGGCUGGGGUGUUUCCAUGGGCAAACAGGAGUCCUCAGGAAGUGAUGUCCAUUUUUGGAGACUCAGUCUGGAAUCUUAAGGACAAUGGAUGUCCAGGUGUGGAAAUGGUGAGAUUAGGCAAAUGCCAAGUCCAGGAUGCCAAGGACAAUGGGUGCUGUGUCCCCAAGCCCAUUCCCAGACAGGACAGACAAAGGAAAGGUCCCAUGAUGUUUAUUGGAAUGGCAAGGUGCUCAGAAGUUUAUUUGUCCAAUGUCCUCUGUAGCUGAUGUCUCAGGUCCCAGAUGGCAAUCAUAAGGCCACAAACUCAGUUGCUGGAAUAUAAUGUCUGAGUGAUAAUUGUCCCUUCUACACCUUUUGCCUGAGGUGUUGAAGGGCGUUUUGGAAUUGUUGGUCCUAUCUGGGGUCGGGAAGUGGUUAAGACAGUUCACCGUAGUUUGCCUUAUAUUUAAUAUAUCAGUAAUAAAAGUAGAGUCCAUACACAGGAUAAUGAAGAGAGAAAGAGGGGAAUGGGGUCCUGGGCUUCUGGCAUGGCGAAAUACUGGACAUGUAUUAAAAGAGGUUGAUAUUCUUAGUUAUUGAACUCCUUCAAAUUCAGCAGAGGUGCAGAUGAUCUGAGAAAAAUACAGACAUAGAGUGCGGUACAGUCAGGGAUAGGAAGUGUCAAGAGAUCCAUUUUGAGGUCAUGUUAGUAGUGGAAAGAUGUUUUAUUUGGGAAAAUUUGGUAUUUAGAUGUCCUUGGGGGAGGCCUCGUCCUCUCAAGCACACACACACACACACACACACACACACAGAGUUCUGGAAUCUCUUUAAACCAGAAUACUAGGUGUCCCCAGUCUGACAGAAGUUCAACUUUCCAGUGAGAUCCCAGCCAACGUGGUGGAGGAGUCUGCGUGGUGUUAAACUGACCAGGCCAAAUUGCUUUCUGAAUCAGGAGACAUUACAAUGUCCAAGGUUGUCAUCUCAAUCUCUUCAAAGGUGCAACUCCAGAGAUAACUAAGCAUUUCUUGCUCUCAGAAAGAAAGUUUUACUCUGAAAAAAUCAAGAGGUAGAAAAAAUACGGAGACCUGGAGCUCCAGUGAUGCCUCCGAAAUAGAAGAACAUUGAGCAGUGACAAUACAUUGGCUUUUAUAAUUUUACAGUCCUGUGCCACCCUUUCGGAUUUUACUCAAUCAGAGUUUCACAACAUAGUCCAUGUCACCCUCUGUCCAGUUCUUAUCUGUCCAGUUCUUAUCUGUGGGGACUGUUUAUCCCAACCCAACAGGUACACCACGAGUGUUGAUGUCAAUCGGCAGGGGAAGAUCCAUCAAGCCUCCAGCUUAUCAAGGCCAUCUGUGUCCAGCAGGGUGAGUGAUGGGAUGCUCACAACUGGUCCACUGCAGGGUGAGGAAAAUCUUAUAUACAGAAAUGACACCACUUUUAGAGAUUGAUGUCCUUAGGUAAAGGUUUCCCCUGACGUUAAGUCCAGUCAUGUCUGACUCUGGGGGUUGGUGCUCAUCUCCAUUUCUAAGCCGAAGAGCCGGUAUUGUCCAUAGACACCUCCAAGGUCAUGUGGCCGGCAUGACUGCAUGGAGCGCCGUUAUUUUCCCGCCGGAGCGGUACCUACUCACAUUGUCAUGUUUUCGAACUGCUGGGUUGGCAGAAGCUGGAGCUAACAGCGGGCGCUCACUCCGCUCCCGGGAUUUGAACCUGCGACCUUUCGGUCUGCAAGUUCAGCAGCUCACCGGAGCUCCUUAGAGCUAAGGACAUCCUAAGAUGUCCUUAGAAAACAAUAAAUCUUUUGGGGGUGGGGGUCCUGUGUUCGACAACACCCAGUUGGUUUCAAUGGCUGAGCAAAGAUUCAAACCAAAAGCAUAGCUGGACAUUCAAACUACUAUACUGCACUCAAUUCCCUCUUCUUUGCCCUCCAACUCAAUAGUUCCCUUGACACCCUCUUUCGCCCACACAGUUAUCAAUAUUUCCUGUCUCUCAGAGGCAUAAGCGAUUUACUCUGCUGCCUUCUCUUUCUUUUUAAAUUGUAUUUCUUUCAAUUAAUGGCUUCAUGUAUGUUCUGGCAUCCCAUAAUAGUCUCCCACCCUUCCGUUUGCCCCAUGAGCCAAAUACAUUCUCAGCCAUUAAGGAUGUUCUCUCCUUUGAAUCGUUUCACAGAAGAUCUUGGCCCCACAUAGACCCCCCAAGAGUGGAGAGGAGGUUUGCAACCAAAGCAGCAUUGAUGCCUCUUGAGGGGAAUGAAGGCCUUUCCUUCCACUGCAGUAACUCCCUACAUCAAGGCUACAACCAUGAAACGAAAAGGGGACUCUUCCUCUUCACCCCACCAGUACAUUUGGGGGAUCUUUCCCUGGUUUCCUUUCUCUCCUGUCUGCCUUCCCUCCCCCCAAAGACCUUUCCCCUGCCCCACCACUUGCCAUAAGCUGAUAGCUGUACUGGUGGGUAUUCUUGCAUUGCAGCGAAUGCUUUUUUUUUUCUUGAAAUUCUCACUGUGUUUUGCUCAAACAUCAAGGAGAGAAUGACAAAACGAACUCCAUUAUGCCUUUCAUGAUGCACUUAGGCAAUGAAUGAAUUUCCUGGGAAUAAACCCCACACACAAAAGUUGCACAUUUUUAUCUUCUCAACUAUGCUUUGAGGAAAGUUCAACAGAGAGUUUAAUAUCAGUUCAAAAUGAGUACAUGAGGUUCAUGGGUAUGAAUAUCGUAUGCCAUGUGCCUUGCAGGGAGGCUGGGUGAAAUGAGGUGAAGACACAGCACUCAUGCCAUUAUCCUGGACCUGGGGAAGAAGCUUUGAUAAAGGCCCAUUGUAGAUUUCCAGAAUUAAUAUUAUUGUAAUGUUAUUACAAGAAAAAUCCCAGAAUACUGGUAUACAGUGUUACCUCACCACUUCGCGGUUCACUUUUCACGGAUUUUUUGUUUCGCGGUUUUUCAGUAAACUCCAAAAGACUAUUAUAAAUCAUAAAAAAAUUACAAUUUACAGUCUAAGGAAGGAGAAGCCAAAGGGAGAGAAAAGGAGCCCAAGUGGCAACGGAAGAAGGAGGCGAUUUAUCCACACACGAUUGGUUGAUAAAGACUUAAAAAUAGUGUAUAACUACUUAAAAUAGUAGACUUAAAAUAGUGUAUAACUACUAAAGUAAUCUAUAAAUAUUAAAAUAAAUAUAGUGUCCCUAAAUCGCGGAUUUUCACUUACUGUGGGUGAUCCUGGAACCUAACCCCCGCAAUAAGUGGGGGAACACUACAUUUAAACUAUCUUGGAAAGUAAGUUUCUGAAUUCAAAUUAAUAAUAAUAAUAAUAAUAAUAAUAAUAAUAAUAAUAAUAAUAAUAAUCACUUGGGAAGUGUUUGACUUGUGAUUUUGUGAUACGCAAUCCAGCAUAUCUAUCUUGUUUGCUGUGUCAUACUAUGUUGUUGUGUCAAUAAUAAUAAUAAUAAUAAUAAUAAUAAUAAUAAUAAUAAUAAUAAUAAUACUUAACCAUGGCUCAUCUGAAGUGUAUUUUGGGAUUGAUUACCAUUAGAUCCCACUUUUGAAAAGCCAAAAAUACUACAGGCCUGAAAAACUGAGGGUCAGAAACCCUUUUCUUUAAAAUUUGUAGUGGUUUUAUAGGAAUUUUGCAUUUUAAGUCUAAAGGCGACUUCAAAUUUGCUCCAACUUCCUUUGAAGUUUCUGUGUUAUAUGAUGAAAUCAAUAUUGAUGUUAGUAAUAAAAUUUGUGAAAUAACUGUAUGAUUUUUUAUUGUGCUUUUCAGAUUCUACAUCCAAAAAUUCACCAAAAACAGCUAAAAUAUUGAAAAAAGGAAUUGUCAUUUCAGACCUGUUAUUUAAUAGUUGGGAAAGGAGGGAGAAAGGAUAAAGCAGUGCUUGUGUUUUCAUAACAGUUGGUGUCAAAACUGCAUUUCUUAUUCUUACCCACACAUAAGUCACAAUAAUAUAAAUUAUCCAAGAUAAUUAAGAGCAAUGCUUAUUGGAGUAAUCAUCCCAAUAAUGUUUCUCUUAAUACUGUUAACUAUUUUGGGUGUCUUUAAUAGUUGAUUUCUGCGAAGUGUGUUAAAGCACUGAGCUGUUGAACUUGCAGACCGAAAGGUCCUAGGUUCAAAGCCCGGGAGCGGAGUGAGCACCCGCUGUUAGCUCCAGCUCCUGCCAACCUAGCAGUUCGAAAACAUGCCAAUGUGAGUAGAUCAAUAGGUACCGCUCCGGCGGGAAGGUAACAGCGCUCCAUGCAGUCAUGCUGGCCACAUGACCUUGGAGGUGUCUACGGAACGCCGGCUCUUCGGCUUAGAAAUGGAGAUGAGCACCAACUCCCAGAGUCAGACAUGACUGGACAGAAAAGAUUUGUAUUUUUAAUGUUCAGAUUCUUCACCAUGCAUCAUUUAUCUCAUUUUAAAAAUGACUAGAUAAAAGUCAGCUGUUUAAAAGGAGAAAACUGAACUAAUAAUGGAAAGUAUAGCCACCCCUGAACACAACUAUUUAGCAGGCAAUUUUAUAUAAUUCCUAGACUUGUGGAAUCUAUGAAAAUUUCUAAUUCAACUCAGCAACCACAAAGAAAGAAACAAGCAAAUAGCCCUAGUAGAAUCCAUUAUAUAAUUCUAUAAAUUACUGGCUAAUGGCAUUUGUCAAAGGCUGCAAUGGUGAUCCAAAGUCAUAAUGUAAUUUGAGCUUUACAAAACACCAUUAACUGCAUUCUGUGAGGCUUUUAGUGAGUAAUCAUCAGGAGCCCCAGAAUUUCAGUAGGCGUGUUGUUAUUAAUUUUAUCUACAUGCAGGUAUCUUUUCAUAUAACUGAGAACACAAAAACUUUGCAUUAAAAUAACAACUGACUGAAGCAGAUAACACUUUGACAACCAUGCAAGCAAUGGGAAAAUAAGAAAAGAUAAAUACAGUAGAGUCUCAUUUAUCCAACAUGAACAGGCCAGCAGAACAUUGGAUUAGCAAAAAUGUUGGAUAAUAAGGAAGGAUUAAGGAAAAGCCUAUUGAACGUCAAAUUACAUUAUGAUUUUACAAAUUAAGCACCAAAACAUCAUGUUUUUUUACAAGUUUGCCACUUGUUUGGGAGUGUGGCUGCACUUGUAUUGUUGUUGUUGUUGGAUGUAUUGGCCUGCUGCACAUUGCUGCCUAGAGAAACAGCUGUGGAUCCCGGUGGGAGGCAGACUGCGUUGGAUAAUACAGAACAUUGGAUAAGCGAAGAUUGGAUAAGCAAGACAAGGGGCCGGGCUGUGGCGCAGGCUGGUUAGCAGCCAGCUGCAAUAAAUAGCUCUGAUCAAGAGGUCAUGAGUUCGAGGCCAGCCUGUGUCGGGGUGACCCGACAAUUAAAAUAAAAAAUAGCCCCUGCUCGUUGUUGACCUAAGCUUCCCGAAAGAUAGUUGCAUCUAUUAAGUAGGAAAUUUAGGUACCACUUAUAUGUGGGGAGGCUAAUUUACGACACCAUAAAAAUCAUCCAGCCACCGUUGGAAUGAGGAAGUUGCCAUCGCAGUGGAUGAUGAAGCAGCUGCUCCCCCUGUGGCCGGAAUCAAGCAUACCCUCAGGAAGCUGGAAGCUGGAGAAGGUUUAAAUUGCCUCUGCAUCUUUCUCUGUCCUAUGUUUAUAUGGCAUUGAAUGUUUGCCUUAUAUGUGUACAGUGUGAUCCACCCUGAGUCUCCUUCGGGGUGAGAAGGGCAGAAUAUAAAUACUGUAAAUAAAUAAAUACUAUACAUGAGUAAUUAAAAGAAUGAAUAAACGUAAUGUAUCAAGCAAAAGGGAAAUAUGCACAACUAUAUUCAGUGACCAUAACAUAUUCUGACACAUCUGCUCCUGCAAUUCAAUUAAGGGCCCAUCUACAUGGGCCACAUACAUCAAUACUGAUCCUGAAUGGAGUCCUGAGUUUAGGGAAAGUAGGAUGGCUGUGUUAACAGCCCUGGCUGCUUCUGGAUAGGAAAGAACCCGUUAUCUCACCACCUUAAAGUGCAGUAGAGCUCCAAAGCAUCCUGUGACUUAAAAACAUGAAACAAGGCAUUAUAGAUAUUAGAGUGAUUGUGGGCAUUACGAAGUCUAUUCAACCACAACCUAACUCAUUUGGCCCAUGUAGAUGGGCCCUCAGAAAAAAAUAAUUGUUAAGUGAUGCAUAGUGGGGCAAAAAAAUUCCAAACUUCACGUAUACACUGAUGGAAUCUGAUCGGGAAGCAAGUAUGGUCUUGGUCAAUAUCUCCUUGAAAAUGUCAUCGAUGUGCAGCUGCUAAAGCAGAAAUUAAAUUUCAAGAUGAGUAUGAUUAGAAUUGGAAUCCGAAACAACACUGCCAAUAUUAUACUACAACUCAUUAACUCUUUAAACGUUCUUUGGUGUGGGCUAAUCUAGUAGGAUUAAGGGCCAAUCCAGUUGGAGUAACAUGCAGCACCACUUGUGUGCAUAGCCACUGAUGCCAAUAAUGCCAAGUAUUGCUUCUAAAGGGUUAGUAAAAGAAGAAGUCACAGUUUGCCUUUACAAUUUUGCCUGGUGUGUUUUGUUUACCACAGAUUACUACUGGUUUCCGAGAGAUUAGAAAUUGAAAAUAAUAUAUUUCAAGACUGCUAAUCAGCUGGGAAGUUUGCCCAUGCCUGAGUUAGCCCAUUUCACUGCUAUGCAGGCAAAGAUUUUUUUAUUUAGGCAGGCCUUUGAAUGAUUUUAAUCAUAUGUGCAAAUUGGUGUGUCUUUAAUUUAGUGCUUUAAAUGUAUUUAAAAUUAUAUAUGAAUCAUUAGCUGUUUGUUUGAAUAGAGUUGAUACUAUUUUCAAACUUUUUGCAGCUGUACAUUUUUAGCCAAACCUUUACUUUAAAUUGUGUAAACCGUUGUAAGGAAGGCUGUAAAUGCAAUAAAUAAAUCAUAAAUCACA
This is a long non-coding RNA of Anolis carolinensis (green anole), 8904 nucleotides long. RefSeq lists it as uncharacterized. The record is from RefSeq and is a predicted model, not a curated record. NCBI's taxonomy places the organism in Eukaryota, Metazoa, Chordata, Lepidosauria, Squamata, Anolidae. The transcript has 2 exons.